GAAAUGCGAUAAUUAAUGUGAAUUGCAGAAUUCAGUGAAUCAUCGAGUCUUUGAACGCACAUUGCGCCCCCUGGUAUUCCGGGGGGCAUGCCUGUCCGAGCGUCAUUGCUGCCCUCAAGCACGGCUUGGGUGUUGGGCUUCCGUCCCUGGCAACGGGGACGGGCCCAAAAGGCAGUGGCGGCACCAUGUCUGGUCCUCGAGCGUAUGGGGCUUUGUCACCCGCUCCCGUAGGUCCAGCUGGCAGCUAGCCUCGCAACCAAUCUUUUUAACCAGGUUGACCUCGGAUCAGGUAGGAAUACCCGCUGAACUUAAGC
Molecule: unclassified non-coding RNA, 314 nt
Filed under: plant metagenome
Description: partial contains 5.8S ribosomal RNA, internal transcribed spacer 2, and large subunit ribosomal RNA
Rfam family: 5.8S ribosomal RNA (bases 1-105)
Source: RNAcentral